UUGGAAAUCAAAUGAUACUGU
Molecule: unclassified non-coding RNA, 21 nt
Filed under: Dictyostelium discoideum
Lineage: Eukaryota; Evosea; Eumycetozoa; Dictyosteliales; Dictyosteliaceae
Source: RNAcentral